Molecule: ribosomal RNA, 372 nt
Filed under: uncultured organism
Description: partial 16S ribosomal RNA
Rfam family: Bacterial small subunit ribosomal RNA
Source: RNAcentral
GAGGGGUGCAAACGUUAUUCGGAUUAACUGGGCGUAAAGGGUGUGUAGACGGUAUGUUAAGUUGUCGUUAAAUCUUCCGGCCUAACCGGGAAGCUCGCGAUGGAAACUGGCAUACUUGAGGAUGGAAGAGAGAAGCGGAAUUCUCGGAGUAGCGGUAAAAUGCGUAGAUCUCGAGAGGAACACCGAUGGCGAAGGCAGCUUCUUGGUCCACUCCUGACGUUGAGACACGAAAGCAUGGGUAGCAAACAGGAUUAGAUACCCUGGUAGUCCAUGCUGUAAACGAUAAUCACUGGAUGUCAGCUUCGCUUUGCGAAGUUGGUAUCGAAGCUAACGCGUUAAGUGAUCCGCCUGGGAAGUACGGUCGCAAGAUUA